This 1223-nucleotide unclassified non-coding RNA is filed under the name Hevea brasiliensis (rubber tree). The record is from RNAcentral. Lineage: Eukaryota; Viridiplantae; Streptophyta; Magnoliopsida; Malpighiales; Euphorbiaceae.
GAAGAGGUGCAGCAAAUGGCAGAAUCUAUGUAGCAAAUAUCAAGAAGCCAAACAGCCACCCGGGUCCCGGAUAAUACCCAGAGGAAGAAAAAUAGCAAAUAGUCUACAAGGACAGUAUUUAAAAAAAAUAAUAAUAAAAACAUAUAAUUGAAACUGCAUGACAUGAACUUAAAGAUGCCAUCUAAAACCAGAAAACUACCACAAAAGGACAGAAGAAAACUCCCAUAAACAGACAUGAGAAAAAUCAAUAUGAACUCUGGCUAUUAAAGCUAUUCAUUUACUAACUUCAUCAAUGAAAACAUUUUGUUUUAUAUUCUCUCAAAGACGCUAAACAAAAACUGUAUUCAUAAAGAAAAGUGGCUAAAGAAUGAAGUUUGAAACAACUAUCAUUUUACAUUAUAAGAUGCCCUGUGCCCCCCCAUGAAAGGAAGAUAAUUUUCUUGAAUCUUAGCACGCCAAUAUCAAUUGAAGACGUGGAAUUUCAGUCAUGUGGCUAUCUAAAACUUUUCAAUUUAUCCAUAAUAUUAUACAACAGGUAUGCACAGUGUCCACUUUGAAACAAACUUUUUAUAUCAAACGCAUAUAACAGAAGCUACCCAACUACUCAUAUCUAUAUUCAUAAUAUUCCCACUUUGAAUUGCACACAAACUAGUAAAACUCCUUUAACAGUACCACAUAACCGUGAAAAAGUUGCCAAGGUUGUUUGCUAACAUAUUGUUUAUCCAAAAGCCCAGAAAGCUAUUCAAAUGAUUCAGAAAUGAGAGUACAUCAUGGUUGAGAGAUACUAAUAUCCACCAAGAGAAAAAUUUUCUUCCACAAGUACUAUAGGUAUAAAGAGAUUAUACUCACAGCAAAACUCCUUCCUAAUGGGGUAUCCAGAAAAUCAUUAAGCUGCCUCCUGUACAGCAAGAAUAACAACAAUGAUGGUAAGAUAAGCAACACCAAUAAACCGAAUUCAAGCAAACGGUAUUAACUCUGUUUUUGCUGUCAUUUGGAGGAGGAGAUAGUUUCCAAUAAAUUGGUAACACCUAGAGGCUGAGAAACAAACAAUAAUAAUCCACCAGGAAUGAGUUUGACACGGAUAUUGGAUGAAAAUGAACUUCCUUUCCCAACAAAUUUGGACAAUUUAGGGAAUUAAUGUUGAAACCAGAAGCAUAUAACAGAAAGGACAAACCCUAGGCCAAUUUCUAACAAAAUCUAUGGAAAAUGUGCGCCACCGAACA